Molecule: long non-coding RNA, 463 nt
Filed under: Nicotiana benthamiana
Lineage: Eukaryota; Viridiplantae; Streptophyta; Magnoliopsida; Solanales; Solanaceae
Description: long non-coding RNA (NBEN_LNC002279)
Source: RNAcentral
GAGACUCAACUCAAAAUGAUAGAAAAUGAUCACUUGUCAUAUUCUGGACAAUAUGCCAAGGUGCUGAUUUUGAACUGAGAGUCUAUCGGAAACAGCCUCUCUACAUUCAAGGUAGGGGUAACCCCACUUGUGGGACUAUAUUGGAUUUGUUGUUAUUGUAUGGCAAGGUGCUGAUCUAAAGAUGCAUGAGUAAUGCAUAUAUGUAUUUGUAUGCUGGAACCAAAAUGUUUGUGGACUAAAACCUUUGGAAGUGCUGGACCAGAAGCAUACAUUAUUAUGAAAAGUUUUGUUAUACAAUAGAUCCUUCACUUGGGAACAGAAGCUAUCUGAAAUCUGCUUUUGUGCCUUGCUACCUUGAAUGACAAUAUUCUACUCAUGAAAAGUUCAUCACACCAAUUCAUUGUUAGUUGGUUUGUGCCAGUAAUUCAGCUGUAGGAAGAGUGAGCUCUGCUUGAGAACGUAC